This 252-nucleotide ribosomal RNA is filed under the name uncultured Bacteroidales bacterium. Its description in RNAcentral is "partial 16S ribosomal RNA". It matches the Rfam family "Bacterial small subunit ribosomal RNA", at positions 524 to 776 of the family's 1533-position model. The record is from RNAcentral. Lineage: Bacteria; Pseudomonadati; Bacteroidota; Bacteroidia; Bacteroidales.
UACGUAGGUGGCAAGCGUUAUCCGGAUUUAUUGGGUUUAAAGGGUGCGCAGGCGGAAGAUCAAGUCAGCGGUAAAAUCGUGGAGCUCAACUCCAUCCAGCCGUUGAAACUGAUGAUCUUGAGUGGGCGAGAAGUAUGCGGAAUGCGUGGUGUAGCGGUGAAAUGCAUAGAUAUCACGCAGAACUCCGAUUGCGAAGGCAGCAUACCGGCGCCCGACUGACGCUGAAGCACGAAAGCGUGGGUAUCGAACAGG